RNAcentral lists this ribosomal RNA (519 nucleotides) under uncultured eukaryote. RNAcentral describes it as "SSU rRNA". It matches the Rfam family "Eukaryotic small subunit ribosomal RNA", at positions 1161 to 1699 of the family's 1831-position model. The record is from RNAcentral.
AGGGCACCACCAGGAGUGGAGCCUGCGGCUUAAUUUGACUCAACACGGGGAAACUUACCCGGCCUGGACACUGGAAGGAUUGACAGAUUGAGAGCUCUUUCUUGAUUCAGUGGGUGGUGGUGCAUGGCCGUUCUUAGUUGGUGGAGCGAUUUGUCUGGUUAAUUCCGAUAACGAACGAGACUCUAGCCUAUUAAAUAGGCUCCCGGCUUUUAAACGCCGGGAGGACUUCUUAGAGGGACAGGUGGCAGUUCAGCCGCACGAAAGAGAGCAAUAACAGGUCUGUGAUGCCCUUUGUUGUCCGGGGCCGCACGCGCGCUACACUGAAGAGAUCAGCGUGCUUUACGUUCCUGCUCCGACCGGAGUGGGGAACCCAGUGAACCUUCUUCGUGAUUGGGAUAGAAGAUUGUAAUUAUUCUUCUUGAACGAGGAAUUCCCAGUAAAUGCGAGUCAUAAGCUCGCGUUGAUUACGUCCCUGCCCUUUGUACACACCGCCCGUCGCUACUACCGAUUGAACGAUCU